RNAcentral lists this ribosomal RNA (378 nucleotides) under uncultured organism. RNAcentral describes it as "bacterial SSU rRNA". It matches the Rfam family "Bacterial small subunit ribosomal RNA", at positions 494 to 874 of the family's 1533-position model. The record is from RNAcentral.
CGGCUAAUUCCGUGCCAGCAGCCGCGGUAAUACGGAAGGUCCGGGCGUUAUCCGGAUUUAUUGGGUUUAAAGGGAGCGUAGGCCGGAGAUUAAGCGUGUUGUGAAAUGUAGAUGCUCAACAUCUGCACUGCAGCGCGAACUGGUUUCCUUGAGUACGCACAAAGUGGGCGGAAUUCGUGGUGUAGCGGUGAAAUGCUUAGAUAUCACGAAGAACUCCGAUUGCGAAGGCAGCUCACUGGAGCGCAACUGACGCUGAAGCUCGAAAGUGCGGGUAUCGAACAGGAUUAGAUACCCUGGUAGUCCGCACGGUAAACGAUGGAUGCCCGCUGUUGGUCUGAAUAGGUCAGCGGCCAAGCGAAAGCAUUAAGCAUCCCACCU